This 466-nucleotide ribosomal RNA is filed under the name uncultured bacterium. Its description in RNAcentral is "partial 16S ribosomal RNA". It matches the Rfam family "Bacterial small subunit ribosomal RNA", at positions 28 to 507 of the family's 1533-position model. The record is from RNAcentral.
GAUGAACGCUGGCGGCGUGCUUAACACAUGCAAGUCGAACGAUGAAGCCCAGCUUGCUGGGUGGAUUAGUGGCGAACGGGUGAGUAACACGUGAGUAACCUGCCCUUGACUCUGGGAUAAGCCUGGGAAACUGGGUCUAAUACUGGAUAUGACUUCUCAUCGCAUGGUGGGGGGUGGAAAGAUUUAUUGGUCUUGGAUGGACUCGCGGCCUAUCAGCUUGUUGGUGAGGUAAUGGCUUACCAAGGCGACGACGGGUAGCCGGCCUGAGAGGGUGACCGGCCACACUGGGACUGAGACACGGCCCAGACUCCUACGGGAGGCAGCAGUGGGGAAUAUUGCACAAUGGGCGCAAGCCUGAUGCAGCGACGCCGCGUGAGGGACGACGGCCUUCGGGUUGUAAACCUCUUUCAGUAGGGAAGAAGCGAGAGUGACGGUACCUGCAGAAGAAGCGCCGGCUAACUACGUG